AGGACGAACGCUGGCGGCGUGCUUAACACAUGCAAGUCGAACGGUGAAGGGGACUUCGGUCCCUGGAUCAGUGGCGAACGGGUGAGUAACACGUGGGCAACCUGCCCCUAGCUCCGGAAUAACCCCGGGAAACCGAGGCUAAUACCGGAUACGACCCUGCGCGGCAUCGCGCGGGGUGGAAAGUUUUUCGGCUAGGGAUGGGCCCGCGGCCUAUCAGCUUGUUGGUGGGGUAAUGGCCUACCAAGGCGACAACGGGUAGCCGGCCUGAGAGGGUGACCGGCCACACUGGGACUGAGACACGGCCCAGACUCCUACGGGAGGCAGCAGUGGGGAAUAUUGCGCAAUGGGCGAAAGCCUGACGCAGCGAGCCGCGUGAGGGAUGGACGGCCUUCGGGUGUAAUCCUCUUUCGGUAGGGAUGAAGCCGUUCGGUGACAGUACCUGACAGAAGAAGCACCGGCUAACUACGU
RNAcentral lists this ribosomal RNA (468 nucleotides) under uncultured soil bacterium. RNAcentral's name for it is "bacterial SSU rRNA". It matches the Rfam family "Bacterial small subunit ribosomal RNA", at positions 26 to 506 of the family's 1533-position model. The record is from RNAcentral.